GACGAACGCUGGCGGCGUGCCUAAUACAUGCAAGUAGAACGCUGAAGGAGGAGCUUGCUUCUCUGGAUGAGUUGCGAACGGGUGAGUAACGCGUAGGUAACCUGCCUGGUAGCGGGGGAUAACUAUUGGAAACGAUAGCUAAUACCGCAUAAGAGUAGAUGUUGCAUGACAUUUGCUUAAAAGGUGCAAUUGCAUCACUACCAGAUGGACCUGCGUUGUAUUAGCUAGUUGGUGGGGUAACGGCUCACCAAGGCGACGAUACAUAGCCGACCUGAGAGGGUGAGCGGCCACACUGGGACUGAGACACGGCCCAGACUCCUACGGGAGGCAGCAGUAGGGAAUCUUCGGCAAUGGACGGAAGUCUGACCGAGCAACGCCGCGUGAGUGAAGAAGGUUUUCGGAUCGUAAAGCUCUGUUGUAAGAGAAGAACGAGUGUGAGAGUGGAAAGUUCACACUGUGACGGUAUCUUACCAGAAAGGGACGGCUAACUACGUG
RNAcentral lists this ribosomal RNA (495 nucleotides) under uncultured bacterium. RNAcentral's name for it is "partial 16S ribosomal RNA". It matches the Rfam family "Bacterial small subunit ribosomal RNA", at positions 28 to 507 of the family's 1533-position model. The record is from RNAcentral.